GACGAACGCUGGCGGCGUGCUUAACACAUGCAAGUCGAACGGAAAGGCCCUGCUUUUGUGGGGUGCUCGAGUGGCGAACGGGUGAGUAACACGUGAGUAACCUGCCCUUGACUUUGGGAUAACUUCAGGAAACUGGGGCUAAUACCGGAUAGGAGCUCCUGCUGCAUGGUGGGGGUUGGAAAGUUUCGGCGGUUGGGGAUGGUCUCGCGGCUUAUCAGCUUGUUGGUGGGGUAGUGGCUUACCAAGGCUUUGACGGGUAGCCGGCCUGGGAGGGUGACCGGCCACAUUGGGACUGAGAUACGGCCCAGACUCGUACGGGAGGCAGCAGUGGGGAAUAUUGCACAAUGGGCGGAAGCCUGAUGCAGCAACGCCGCGUGCGGGAUGACGGCCUUCGGGUUGUAAACCGCUUUCGCCUGUGACGAAGCGUGAGUGACGGUAAUGGGUAAAGAAGCACCGGCUAACUACGUG
This 468-nucleotide ribosomal RNA is filed under the name uncultured bacterium. RNAcentral's name for it is "partial 16S ribosomal RNA". It matches the Rfam family "Bacterial small subunit ribosomal RNA", at positions 28 to 507 of the family's 1533-position model. The record is from RNAcentral.